GAGCAUAACCAUUUUAGUUAGUCACAUAUAUUUCCAAGAUGAACUCGAAGGCCUUUCUUAUCGCAUGCAUUCUCUUAGCUACCAUCGUCUUCUCUCCCCCGUCCACUUGCACUGCUCGAGAAUUGGCCGAGCGAGGUGAGAUUUUAUUUCCAACAUUAACUUAAGAAAAGCAGUUCAUUUUGUGUGUGUAAUCUCUGUGUACGCCGGCGUUUUUUCAUGCAAACAAACUUUUGUUAUAAAACUGAUGAGUCAACCUUUACUUUUACUUCCAGCAUUAAUUAAGUUAAGAUAAUCAUUAAUUUCAUGUUUUGUAUGUAUAUAUUAUUUAAUUAAUCUGUCGUAAGCUAUCUUAUAUAUAUAUAUAUAUAUAUAUAAAGAUGAUUCUGCUAUAAUAUCAGAUUAUGUGAACAUGAAUUUGCUAUAACAUGCGUGAAUCUUGCAGAUCCCAUCCCCACCUAUAAACCAGCAGGUUGCCCAAAUCCUUACAAGCGUAAUUGUGGGCGCCCUUAAGAUUAGAAGCAAGCAAAGUUGAGUGCUGCUUAAAAGUAUGGAGAGCUUCUGCUGUCUUUAUCAAUAUGUAAAAUGAUCAGAACUAUUUAUGUGAGAAUACUAAAUAAAGUUCUCCAGUGGAUUAGAAGAAGCAAGCAAAGUUGUGAAGUAUGGACGGCUCAUAGUGUCUUUAUCAAUAUGUAAAAUUAAUGUUAUGUUGAUAUGGGAACUAUUUAUGUGAGAAAAAUAAAUGAAGUUCUUAGUGAGUGAGUUUCAUGGUAUCUUUUGAGGUUUUAAUUUCGGUCAUUAUGCAGUCCUCUGUUUGAAAAUUACAUUGAAUCACAAAAACAAACACUCUCUAACUCUAAUACCAUAUCAAUUUAACUUCAAAGCUGCACAGCCCUUGUUUGAGUGGGGUUUUUUCCUUUAAUUUUGUCAAAUGACAUGGAAAAGAAAGUGAUUUCAUAAUUUAUCAAGAAUCUCUCUAUUAUUUUUUAUUUUAUUUUCCAUUAAUGCAAUACUCAGUUGAACAUGUCUCUUCGGGCUGUAAUAUUAACAUGUAAUAUUUUAAUUGUUUUUUUAAUUAUUAAUUUUUAUUUCUAAUUUUCUCGGUCUUUACCAACCAAAAAAUAUUAUCAAUAAAUAGUGACUAAAAUAGCAACAUUAUUUUUUAUUGAAAAACAUCACCAUAAUUUAUCGAUGAUAUUUUUUUUUGUUAGUAUUUAAUAAUUUUCUAACACUGACUAGAGUUUUAAAGGAUACCAAUCGUCCCACCAUAGAUGAGUGGUCUUACCAUUUCAAACGGUUUGAUGAAUUGCUUUUGUACUAUUAGAGAAUAAUAUAAAUUAUAUCUUGAGACCUCAUUUAACAUCUUAAACUUUUAGGUUGAAUUGGUUUUUUGAUAUGGUAUCAGAGCCUUGAUGACCAAGCGGUCACGAGUUCAAAUCUCACCACCCUCAUUUAUUUGAGAAAAAUUAAAGAUAAGAUAAUAUGAGCUCAAGCCCAAAAGGCUUUCUUUUGAGGGUGUGUGUUAGGGAAUAAUGAGUUGAAUUAGUUCUUUAACACGUACAAAUGUUAUAAGCUAGAGUAAUUAUCAUCGAUGUUAAGAAUAACUAUUGGGUACUUUAUGGCUCCAAAAGCUAUUGCAUAAAUGUAAUUACAUCAUUUUUAAGCAACUUUUGUACUAGUUGUUAGUAGUAUAUUGGCUCUUGCUCCGCAGCAGAUCAAUAUUAAGAAUAUAGUUGUUGUAACCCAUUUUUGGGUCCCCACAAAAUAUAUAUAAAAAUAUAUAGCCAAAGGAGUUUAGAAAAAUAAUAAGAGGUGGGAGCGCUCAGAAAGAAUCAGAAAAAAAUUCAUUGAGGAGAUUCAGAAAUACAAGGAGUGAAAUUUUACAGUAUAUAUUUGACUGAGGAGAGCCCUGUUGGAAGAGAAAAUUUAAUUUGAAGAGAAAAGGGCCAAAAUUGGAUGUUUAUGGACUCAAUUGGAUUUUAUUGAAGGUUUAUUUGAAUUUAUAGAGGUUUUGAUUGCAAGGAAAAUUGAGUUUUAAGUCAAUUUAGGCUUUAAUUGGAAGAAAUUAAAGUUCUGAGGUCAAAUUAUAAUUUUUGAGAGUUGAUUUGGUUAAAUCAAGGGCUUAAUUGCAUAAAUAUUGAAGUUUAAGGGCCAAUUAGGGAAUUAAUUGAAGAAAUUCAAAACCAAGGACCACAUUGGAAAAGGCGCGCAAGUAUAGGGGCUGCAAUUAACAAAAUCCGGGGGCCAAAUUGAAGAAAUUGAAAGUUUAAUGGUCAAGUAGGGAUGAGAUUGAACGAAACUGAAAGUCGGAGGACUAAAUUGAGAAUUGGCAAAGAAAUCCCUAUUUUUAUCAAAAACGGCGCCGUUUUGCAUUUAAAAAAAAAAAAAAAAAAGAACCAGUUACUGUUCAUUUUCUUCCCCACCAAGCUGCCCGAGUGGCCGACUUCCAGGCGUGUUUUCUGCCUCGUUUGGCCCCCAAAUCCGACAAAAAAUGCGCCAACAUCUCCACCUGAAACCCCUUUAUCCCGGAGAAUGGUCCGGUCGGGUCGAAAAAUUUAGAAACGGCUCCGUUGAGUGGCUCUAAGUGGCCACCUCGGGCAGUUCACAGCCUUGAGCUGCCAAAUUUGGCAGCUCGAGGUGCACACUUUGAACCAACGGUUUGGAUUCCUCGAGUCGAAUCAAGGGCUGAGAAUUUUUCCCCAUUGAAGACAAGAUUACCCUCUUUCCAGCCCUAGGAGAAAUUUUCAUGCUGAAACGGUUGGCAGGAGGGAGCUCAAAAUUGGGAUAAAAUCAGCUUUUCCUGCUCGGUUUUCCUGCAACCAGCCUUCUCUUUCUUUUUUUUCUCUCCGCCGUGGCUUCCAGCCGCCACCACUGAUCUCUCCACUGUCCUUACCACAAAACACCACAUCCCAUCCAUCACCCAGCAGCCUCACCACAGGCCACAGUACCCCUCUUUUCCUCCCUCUCCUCUCUACAAAAAUCUCCUCCUCUGCCAUCGUGAUUCAGACAGCCUCCACACCGACAGCAGAGGUAGCAACCAUCUUGCCCAAAAGCUCUCUUCCACUCCUACCAGCAGCAACCGGAGUAACAGCUCCUUCCUCAGUCACACCAACAGAUCCAGCCGAGAGCUUUCCUUCUCCUCUGCAGGAAUCUGCUCCUGCUUCUUUCAGCCGGGACUAGUGCACGCCUGUCGCCACCCAGCGCCACCGUGAGCCAUAGCCGGAGACAGCAGCCACGAUCACUCAUUCCAGGUACCUCUCCUCUCCCUUUUUUCUGUCCCCUCUUCCCUGUUGUUUUCCUCGGCAUGCAGAACGUGAAUUCACGUUCUGCAGCAAUGGAAAUAUAAUUAGCUGGUUACUGUGCGCUGCACAGUAACCAGCUAAUUAUAAGCACCUGGUUAAUAUGCGCGGUUACUGUACAGGUCAUUAUAUAUUAUGUAUAUUAUAUUGUGUUUUGUUUAUUUAUAUAUAGAUAUAUAUAUAUAAAAAAAUUUAAUUAAUUUCUUCGAAAAAUUAUUUCAAAAAAUAUGUGAUUUUAUGUAAUUUUUAUUACUGUAUUUUGAUCAAUAUCGGUUUGUAUUUUUAUACUGUAAAGAUACAAAUCCGGUAUUAAAAUACCCGGUUUUCGUCAAGACAUAAAAAAAAAAUGUUUUGUUUUCAUGCAUACGGCCUAGUCUCUCCAACAUAUAUAUAUAAAUAUUAUAACAUCAUAUUUUUCACACAACAAAGAAAAUUUCAAAACAAUAUAUGUAUUAGCAUGCAUUUUGGCUUUAAUAACCAGUUUAUUCAAGCCAUGAGAACUAGGCCAAUAUUUCAAAAAUUCUAAAAAAAUAUUUUUGUCCUCUUUUAGUAUAUGGGAUUACGAAUUUAUAUGUAAAACGUAUUCCUGAUGUUAAAAAUAUGAUUUUACAUAGACGUUAGAACGGUUAGGUUUUACCCGAUAAGAUAAGAACCUCCUUAUUGAGGAGGACUUUUCUUGAACCAUAGACGGACCAACAACUAGGAAACAUAACGAGAACUUGAAUUUUAUCAGACAAAUAAACAAUGCAGCUUACCUUAGGUAGGGCAUAUUUGGGGUGCUAAUACCUUCCCUUUACGCAACCAGUCCCCGUACCCAAUCUCUGAGACCAGUUAGGGUUCCUAGUGACCAAAAUACUAGGUGGCGACUCCCAUUCCAUUUUCUUCCAACAAAAGACAAUAUUUUCUUGUCUCCCCACAUUUGCCAGAUAAAUAUCAUACACACUUCCUAGUUUUAAAAGUGGAAUACUCGCCGCGACGCCGCGCACCCGCGACAGAAUGGCGACUCCACUGGGGACCUUGUGGACUAAGCUUUGUUUUUGUCUGAUUUGUUUUUUUGUUCUCUUGUGUUUUUAAUAUACCUUUCCUUUUGUUAUAUGCUUAUAUGCUUUAAAUAUUUUUACACAUAUUGUUCAUGCAUUUGUAUAGAACUGUCUCAUACAUCUUAUAGAACUGUCACAUGCAUCACAUACUUUGAUUUUGAGAAGCACACACAAGCUUUAAGUUAGGUGGGGGAUUAGCGAUUUGCCCUAUGACUAUCGGUCAGGGUUCAGAUGCGUGAAACACCCAACUCAUAUCUGAGUGCCCGCUUGGUAAUGGUGGGUAUACGUACUUUAACCGUUCCUUGCGACGCCCCCAUACUGUCUUUACGAAGAACGUCACUGGGCAGAUAUGAGACCCUUUUAAAGACCAGAUAGAAAACCUACCCAUUCUCACCUAUAUAAAUAGAACUUGUCCUUAGGAUAUCUAUCUUACGUUCAUUUGCAUCAUGAUUAAUAAUUCAUCAAUCCAGGUUUUUAAGCCGAAAUCUUGCCAAAGGAUUACGAAAGUCAUGAAUCGACUUUAAGAUAUACAUUUGCACGAGCAUCAUAUUUUCAUCACGCAUUUGUUUUUAAUUCAUCAUAUGCACGACAGAUCGUGAAACAUAGGUCCCACAUCCAAAGUCCACAACACCCGGUCUAGAUCGAGAAUGGAGAACGAAGAAAGAGCUCACUUAGAGUCACAUUAUCAGACCGAGUUGGAGUCCGUAAAAAAUGAAGUUUCUCGACUAACCGACUUACUCGAGCAGCUUUUAAGAGCUAAGAAUGGGGAGGGAACAUCAGCACAACAGCCUGAAGGAGCGCCAGCAGCUCACAUCCCUCAAGCAUCUCAAAACCAGGGGGCAAACUCGGCCAAUGAACAACAUUUUGUGCCUGUCGCCCCUAUCCAGCCAACUCAUGCUCCAGUCACUGUGGACUUAACAGCGGAGGGAAUCCCGGAUAAUAGGUCUCCCGGUUUGAUGGACCAAGACAAGCUGUCUGCUUUGGAAGAAAGAUUACGGGCAAUUGAGGGUAAUGAUUGGUUUGACCCUAUGCGAGCAGCCGAAGUAUGUUUAGUACCAAACAUCGUGGUGCCAAAAGAUUUUAGGAUACCAGAGUUCAUUAAGUAUACUGGUUUGGAAUGCCCAAACACUCACCUUCGAUCCUACUGCAACAAAAUGGCAGAAGUAAUCCAUGAUGAUAAAUUGCUAAUCUAUUUCUUUCAAGAUAGCCUAGCAGGAUCCGCUUUGAGCUGGUACAUGAAGUUAGACAGUGUCAGGAUUAGGAGCUGGAGAGACUUGGUGGAGGCUUUCCUUAAACAGUACAAGUUUAACAUGGAAAUCGCUCCUGAUCGAACAAGUCUAAUGUCAAUGGAGAAAAGGAGCCAAGAGUCGGUAAGGGCCUAUGCGCAAAGGUGGAGAGAUGAGGCAAUGCAUGUCCAACCCCCUUUGAUAGAAACAGAGAUGGUGACCUUGUUUGCCAAUACCUUUAAAGCACCAUAUUAUGAGCACCUAAUGGGUAGCUCAUCUCAGCAUUUCUACGAUGCGGUACGCAUAGCUGAAAGAAUAGAGCAAGGGAUUAAAGCUGGACGUAUAGCUGAGCCAUUGGAGAUAAAGGGUUUUAUUGGAAGAAAAAUGGAAGGUCACAUUUACGACUUUGAAGGUGGGUCCAAGGGCAAUAUAAUGGAUUCACUCAACCCACAAAUACCUACCCCUCAUGUUGCCCACAUAAACUUUAACAAACCAUUUUCCUCUAAUCGAGCAAAUAACCAGUCAAACAACCAAAACAACUACCAAAGACCAAAUACAAGGUACAUCUCAGAACAACUACCGCCAUUACCCAUGCCUUUGAAGGAAAUGUAUGCCAAACUACUGAGCAUUGGACAAAUAGCUCCUAUCCCUACAUUACCACUACAACCACCAUUCCCCAUCUGGUAUAAGCCCGAGUUGACUUGCGAGUACCAUGCUGGUAUUCCCGGACAUUGUCUUGAAACGUGCUACGCUUUCAAGAACAUGUUGUUGAAGCUCAUCAAGAUAGGAUGGGUGUCGUUUGAAGACACACCCAAUAUCAAUUCAAAUCCAUUGCCUGGUCAUGACAAAAGUAAUAGGGGAUAAAGGGUGUUGCUACCCAAUUUUUGACCCAUGUUUUGAUAAAUUUUUUAAAAAAUCCAAAAAUAGCGAAAAACAUUGAAAAUCCAAAAAAAUACAUUUUUAAUACAUUUGCAUCGUUUUUAGCAUUUUUAGCAUCAUCUUAAAAGAAUUUAAAUUUUCAACGACAUUUGGAACGCGUUCAACUUUUAACGCGUUAUUUUUAAAAUCAUUGAUUUUCUUCAUUGAGUCGACGUUGAUAUUGCUCGUUUUCAAAAAUACAAAAAAAUUAAGAAAAAUCAAAUUUUACAAAAAAGAAAGAAAGUUGAGGGACCAAUUUUGAGAUCCAUGCAACAUUUUACCUAUAAAUACUGGUUCACAACUCAAACAAAAGGGGGGGGGGGUAAUUUUGAAAUUUGAGGGGAGAGGCAACACAAAAACAGAAACCCUAAAAGCCUAAUUUUUUCUCCCCUCACGGGGGAGGCAGCCGCCAGCCCCCCACCGUUUGAUUUUUCUCUUCUCCCUCACCGAAAGAGAGAGCCGCCAGCCCCCCCUGGAUUAUUUUUCUCUUCUCCCUCAACCGGACAACCGAUCUUCCCCACCCUCACAAAUCAGCCUCACCGAAACCCACUGACCAGACGAUUUUCCUCCUCCCCUUGUCCUCUGCCAAACACAAACCAGGCCACACCCUUCUUCCCCUCACAGGAGCUAAACCUUCACCCAGCCAUACUCUCCCCUCAUCUCACCAGGGCUGUUCCUUCACAGCCGGUUUUCCCUCAGCCACUGUGAACGCCAUCUCCAGCCGCUCCCCCAUUUCAACAGAUCUUCCCUCUCAGCUGCUCCCUUCUCCAGCCGCCAGCUCGCCAGACCAAAAGGAGGGCAGAGCCGUUCCCCUUCGUUCUCCCCUCUCGUCGGCCGCCUCCUCAUCUUCCCCGAUCUCUUCAUCUCCAUCAACACCGAAGCUUCAUCCAGCAGCAGCCAACACACGGCAGCACCCACAGAGUCAACAGCCGUUCCCAUCUCCACCCGACAAACCCAGCAGACCCGAACCGGCCACCAGCUGCUGCACAGCCAUCGCCGCCCAAACGCCAGACCUGCCACCCAAAGCAGAGGAGAAGACGAAACCCACAACAAAUUGACCCGCCGUGUAGUCGAAGAAGGAGAAGGGAGAGAAGCCGAUCUGGACCAAAAAGAAAAAAUUAAAAUCAACUGCUGUUGUGCGUUGUUUCUCCUUGUUGCAGGUGACGGUGACCUUCACCGCCGACGUAGGGAGACAGAGAAGAAGAAGAGGUUCCCGAUCCACCGGUUUCUGCCACCUUCAUCGGCGGCGGCGCGUGGAACCACGCGCCGCCAGUGACGCCACUGUUCUGGCAGCUCCAGAAGUCGGCCUGACACUGUUCCGGGUUGUUUGGUUCAUUUUGUAAUUUUCAAAUUGUUUAAUGUAAUAUUUGUGUAAUUUUGAGUUUUUUUUUAUAAUUUGUACUUUGUGUAAAUGUGGAGGAAAAAGAAAAAAAGAAAAGAAAAGAAAAGAAAAGAAAAAAACAAAUAUUAAUAGAAAAAGAGUUGUGCGUGUUUUGUUUUUUUGUUAUGUAUAUUAUUGAAUAAAAAGAAAAAAAAUGAAUUUAAUUUAUAUGCACAAAUAUCUAAAGGACAGAUAAAAAUCAUGUUGUAUUUUCCAUAAAAAUGUAGAACAUGUAUCUACAUAUAUUUUGGGAACUAAUAACUGAUUUAUCAAAGCCUUAGAAUUGGGCUAAAAUUUUAUUUUUAAAACGCAUCAAGUCCACGAAGCAGCUUACCUCAGGUAGGGUGCGUUAGGGGUGCGAAUACCUUCCCUAACCACAACCAGUCCCUUACCCGCGAAUCUUUGACAAGACCAGUACAUCAGGUUUCCUAGUAGCCCUCAAUAAAUUACUAGGUGGCGACCCCAACGAACCAAGCAAGCAAAACACAUAACAACAGAAAAAUCGCCAGCAGAUGCCGCGCGGAUUUUGACGUGCGACAGAAUGGCGACUCCACUGGGGAAGGUAUUGUUUCUGAUGAUAUUGGACUAAGCUUUGUGUAUUUGAUGUGUUUAUGUUUUGCAUUUUUGUCUUGUUUUAUUUUUGUUUUAUUCAUGCAUUUUGUAGAAUUGUCUCAUGCAUCACAUAUUUUAAUUUUUUUAAAGCACACACAAGCUUCAGGUUAGGAGGGGGACUAGCAGCUUACCUUAUGACUUUUAGUCAAGGUUUAAGUUUGUGUAAACCCCAACUCUUCGUUGAGUGCUUAGACUGGUAAUAGUUGGACAUGUGCCAUCUCAUUGCCUACAAGCCCCCAUAUUGCCUCCACGAGGGCAAUCACUGGGACAACAAGAGACCCUUUUUAGAGACCAAGUAAUAAACCUACCUUUUGUCUCACUUAAAAAAUUAGAACCUGCCUUUAGGAUGUGUGCUCCGUAUAUAUUGUUUUGCAUCAGGGCAAACCCUUCUUGAAGCAUCUUGAACUCAAGACUUUUGGGUGACCCAAUGGCCGUCACUUAGAAAAUUUUCAUUGUAGAGUUUGGGCAAGAAUCAAGAUUCUUGUUUCAUCAUACAAGAGUUACGACCAUAUGUCACCCCUCGAAGGGCGAGUUCAUCAUAUAGUUUACAUGUCCAUACAUUUAUCAUGCAUGUACCGGGUUGAAAGAUAGGUUCUCCCACACAAGUUGUGCUACGCGCGAAUGAAGAAAGAUGAUAGAAGCAAAGAAAGUUGUCGGAGAAAGGCUCAUUGUCAAAAGGAAGUUGAGAGCAUCAGAGGUGAAGUAGCCAGAAUCAGAUAUGCUUGAUCAAGUGUAGAGCAUCAAAGGGAAAGGGAAUGUCUACACAGUCUUCUGUGGGAACACUGCUUGUCCAUGUCUCAUUGAAGUUACAUCUCCAUUUUAGUCCUGAACAACAACAGCAAUGCCUUCAGUCAUCAACUAAGGACAACUUUGGUUCUUGUUCAGUUGCACUGCUAAUUGUUCAUCGCCUCCAUAUCUUUCAAUGACACCAAAUAAUUGCUAGCCUUCUGUGCAUGGUGCAUUAGUCUUCUUUGAAGUUACCCCAACUGUUAGCUCAAUUCCAGUUCAGCGGCACAAGAUGUAAAAAAAAAAACAAAAAAAAAACAAAAAAAAAACCCCGAAAAAAAAACUGAAAAAAAAAACCAUGAUUCGACCCUGAACUUCUACGUUGCAGAGCUCUCUCUGUAGAUAUUUCUUUAUGGAUCUGCAAGUGGGGAAUGCAAGAGGGGAUGUAGUAUUUUCAUAUGCUACAAAAAUUCGCCCCAUCAAUUUCAGAACCGAAACACUGGAGUAGGCAGAAGGGUCACACCUGGUCUGAAAACAUGAGCCGUCAUUAAACUUCAACGCGGCAGAGCUCUCUCUACAAAAAUCCGUUUGUGGCUCUGCAAGUAGGGAAUGCAAGAGGGGAUGCAGUACUUUCAUAUGCUACAAAACUUUGGCUCAUCAGUUUCAGCACUGAAACACUGGAGUAGGCCGAAGAGUCAGACCUAGUCUGAAAACAUGAGCAGUCGUCGAACUUUGACGUGUCAGAGCUCUCUCUACAAAAACCCGUUUGUAGCUCUGCAAGUGGAGAAUGCAAGAGGGGAUGUAGUAGUUUCAGAAAAUGUGAAAAUUUAUGCCACCAGUUUCCGCAUCGAAACACUGUAGUAGGCAGAAAAGCCAGACUUGAGCUAGAAAACAGGAGCAAAUAUAGAACUUCACCGUGGCAGAGCUCUCUCUGCAGAAACCUGUUUGUAGAUCUGCAAGUGGAGAAUCCAAGAAGGGAUGCAGCAGUUUCUGAUCAUCUAUAAUUUUCUCUCAUCGGUGUUAGCUUGAAAAUGCAAAAGAAGGGAAAAGAGACAAACCUCGGCUGAAAAAUAGAAAGAAGAUUGAAACUUCAACAGAGCAGAGCUCCCUCUACAGGUGUCUGUUUGCUGCACCAUCAGUGAGGAAUCAAAGAGGAGACAAAGGAGUUUUAGAUUCAUCAAGUUCUCUUCCAGUUUUGACAAUGUGUGAUUCCACACGUCGGCAGUGGCAAUGCUGCAAGUCUCCGGGUGCUGCCAAGAUUACCUAGCUGUUGGAAGGUUUCCAACAAUCCACAAACGACCACAACAACAGGGGAAGAUUGACAUGAUGUUGUGAAGAUUGUCAAAAGAAUUGAACAAGCUAUAAAGAGAGGAAAGAUUGAAGGUUUUGCCAUGGAUUCCAGAACUAUGAAGAGAGUUGAAUCAGAAGAUGACUCUCAAUUGAGAAACCUCAGUUAUUUUGCCUAGUCAAGUCUCGCUCAAGCAUCAACUACUCCAAUGUCUCUGCCAAAGAUAGUCAUUCCUUUGCCAUGUGGGUUUAUUUACCAGCAUCUGCCAGAUUCCAGACUUUUUCCUGACUCCGACAAAACCCAUGCAACCACCGUUUUCUAGGUGGUAUAAUCCAGACAAGAGAUGUGAUGUCAUGGUGGGGUCCUUAGCCAUUUCAAUUGAAUAAUUGCAAGAAUCGAGUCCGCAAAUUGGUGAGCAAAAGACGAGUGGAGUUUGCGAAGGAGGGUGUCAUUGGCUAAAUUGUCGCUAGAACAUCCUCAGAAUGACGAGUGAUCGGAAUUGCUUGGCAAAACAGAGAUAUUGCCAAAGAGGCUGAUCUAAGAAGGGGUUAAACUGUCAAUCAUUUUUGUUAUGAAUUUUUGCCAUUCUGCAUUUUGUUUCGGGAUCACAUCUCCUCCUUGAACGAAACAUGUCUUUCCUUUGUCUUCCUGUUGUUUUGAAAUCAAGAGAUGCUUCUUUCAAAGGGUAUUUUUACAAAAUAUUUUGAUCAAGCUCCAACAUGCGAUUAAGAUUAAUCAAUCCUGAAGAUUAAAAGUAUUUUGAUUGCAGAAAUAACUUGAUGCUUGAAAAUGACAUGAGGUGACCAAACAAUUUUUGAACUCAUACUUCCUGAAACUGAACCACACAUCAUAUAGCUAGUUUUAGCAGUAUGCAUAAUGACAUGUAGUGGAUUCAAUAGUUAUGGACUCGUGAAUCAUGAUUCUUACAAGUCCAAAUCAUUGCACUGGAUGAGGUCAAAAUUUAUCGAUUCUAACCGACCUUGCUUGAAAUGAGAAAAGGCCAUCUUUGUUAUACUUUCACAUUUCUUGAAAUAUUAUCCCUUGCAGUCCCAUUUUGAGCCUGGUAAAGUAUUUUCUUUCAAAAAGAAACCCUGACUAGGAUCACACCCUACAUUGGGGAAAAAUGAGAGAUAUUUUGAAGACACUGAUUGGACUAAUGGAUAAAAGAAAGGCUUAGAACAAAAGUCAAAUGAUUGAGAAAGGGCUAGAAGAAUAAAAGCCAUAGAUUGAGGGCCAUCCAAGAAAACUUUGAGGAAGGCUGUGAGAAAGCAAAAAAAAAAAGAAAAGAAAAAAAAGAGAUUGAAAAAAGAAGAAGUUGAAUCUGCCUUCACUUAAAGGCAAGUCAAAGAUAAAGGAAGGAGAAUGCCUAUCAAUUCUAAGAGUGGCAAAAGAGGUUUCAAUUGAAGAAAGACACAACAAAUGCCAAAAGUCAACACUAAAAAAAUCAAGUUUCAUGUUUUUUGGUGUGUCUAGGAUAAAGCCUUUAGUGUCUUUAAAAAAAAAUUUUUAGAUUGAUUAUUCAUCAUAGAAAAAGUUGGAUUUACAUUAUGACCUAUGUUAAGAGAAUUCUGAUCUUUGAGAUUAACAAGGUUAUAUGUCACUUUCUCCACAAUGACAACAAGAAAGAGAGUUGAUGAAUAGUUGAUGUUGAUCCUAAGUCUUUGAAAUCCUCAAACACUUUUUGAGCUUGUGAAAUUCCUUUCUUUCAUAGCCAUGAACCAUAGCUUGCAUUAUGUGCUUUUAAAAGCCCUUUUUAAUCAAGUAAGCAAUCUGAACCGAUAAAUGGCGAUCUCAAAACUUGAAGAGUUUUCCAUAAGAGUCAUAGCUUCAUGGAUUAAGCUAAUGGUUAUUAUGCAUGCUGAUAAAAUUGGUGUUAAAAAAAAAAAACAAUCUUUCUUGAUAAGUCCUCAAGUUUUGACUUGUGUCUUUUGUUUUUUGAAAUUCACAGAAGGUCACCUCAUCAUAGACCAUCAAAAGAUAUACCCGAAAUCAGAGUCUAAAAUGGAUACAAAGAACCAUGAAAAAAAAAACCAUUUUAGUCUUACAAUGGGUCAAUUUCUGUUUUCAAAAUACAUGACAAUCAAAGGACUGUAUAUUUCGAAUAACGUGUGUUGGAUCUUUGACCGAAGAAACUUGAUUUUCAAAAACUGACAUCUCUCUGAUUUCAUUUCAACAAUUAGACUUGAAUUGACAUGAUCUUUGAAAUAUGAGAGUUGAUUCCAGAACAAGAAAGAUUGUUAAACAACAAGAACAUCGACCGAAUUUGCAAAAUCCUUGACAAGAAUGACAUCAACACUUCUUGACACUCCUUGAAAAGUUGACCACCUGGAGGCAAUACAGUGGAUCAUGGGUAGGAAAACAAGCAGUAUUUAGAUCAGCUGGGGGCAAUUAAAGAUGAUCAAAUGAUGAAUCAAUGCACUAAGGACAAUAGUGUUUAAAGAAAGCUAAUCAGCAGGACAAACAUUCAGAUCAUUACUGGGGGCAAUGUUGUUCAAAGAUAGUCCAUGAUCUAGUGAACCCCGUCAACAAUCGGGAAAGCAAAGAUACACUUCAAGGAAAUCUUUUGAAACAUGGCUAUCGACCGAUGUGGGCAUACAGUUGCAUUCGAACGAAUAUGAAAAGAUGCACACCACCAAGAUUGAUUGCGGAACAAUGUUGUACUUGAAGGAUAAUGUCAUAUUAUCAUCUCCAACUUGGCUAUGACUUUUGAACGAUGUUAUCGCAUAGUUGUGAAUAUUGGAAGGAUGCACUCACCAAGACUGACUGUGGGACCAUAUGUUUUGGAGCUCAAUGCGCACUUCACCGUAUGAAUAUGGGUGAUAACAUGAACAUCAUUGAUGAUGUCGAGACAUUUCUUUUCACUAUCUGAUUUGACAAGCUGAGAGAAAUCCAUGAGAAAGAACAUUGAGCAUACAACGAUGAGUCUUUCACUGCAAGCUAUGAGAUGCAUGUCUGGACGAUUGGAUAAUUUCCAUGAAGACUGGUGAUAACAUUACUUGAAGAGUAUUGUUUCAGCUUGAGGCAAGUUUAUGACUGAUGGACAAUCAUGAUGGGUGUUGGCAUGAUGCACACAACCAAUCAGAGGAUAAUUCUUAGAAGAAUCCAGGAGAGAAAAUCCUUCACGAUGAAUCAAGCAACACCACACUUGGGGGCAGAGUCAAGCUUGAUAAACCACAAGAGCAGUAACCGUUGAAGACAGCCUAGAUUGGGCACUGCACUUACAACUGAGUGGAUGGCUAGCACAUGAAUGAGUCAGUACAUGGGAAGGACAAAUAAAGCUUUGGAAUGCAAACAAAGGCACCCUGUGAUGAUGGAACAUCGAAGAGAGGGGACCUAUAUUUCACAUCAGGUAAGGAUGCAUGCAUGUCAUCUAACCUCAAAGCAUUGCACAUACUUAUGAUUUGUUACAGAAAGAUCCUCAAUGAAGUCCAGCAAGAUUGUGGACAAAGAAAGAAUCAUUGAGUUGAUAACAGAGAAUCAUGGUUGUGACCUUGAAACGGGAAGAAGAUGAGAUAAACCUUACUGUUAGGAAAAUCUCAAAGAAAUGAAAAGAUCAACCUUGCAAUCAGGAAGCAUCGAGUUUUCAAACCCUGCGAUCAAGAAUUAUCAAGAAGCACCAAGUUUUCUGGCCCUUCUUCUAUCAUCCCUUCAGGACUUCGCCAGGUAAGUCCCAUUUCUCACACUUGUCACAUCACAUCUUUCAUUUGGGUAGGUCACCCAUAACAAUGAGACCACUUCAUAUUUUUUCUAUCCUCCACCUGGGUAGGUCACCCAUAACAAUGAGACCACUUCAUAUUUGUUCUAUCUUCCAUCUGGGUAGGUCACCCAUUAUAACGCGACCACUUCACAUUUUUUCUAUCUUCCAUCUGGGUAGGUCACCCAUAACAAUGAGACCACUUCACAUUUUUUCUAUCUUCCACCUGGGUAGGUCACCCAUAACAAUGAGACCACUUCACAUUUUUCUAUCUUCCAUCUGGGUAGGUCACCCAUUACAAUGAGACCACUUCAUAUUUUUUCUAUCCUCCACCUGGGUAGGUCACCCAUAAUAAUGAGACCACUUCAUAUUUGUUCUAUCUUCCAUCUGGGUAGGUCACCCAUUAUAACGCGACCACUUCACAUUUUUUCUAUCUUCCACCUGGGUAGGUCACCCAUUAUAACGCGACCACUUCACAUUUUUUCUAUCUUCCACCUGGGUAGGUCACCCAUUAUAAUGAGACCGCACUUCACAUUCUUUCCAUUUGGGUAGGUCACCCAUCAUAAUGAGACCGUUUUCCAUCAUUUUUUCUUGGGUUCGUCACCCAUACAAUGAGACCAUCAUUUUUUUUCUUGGGUUCGUCACCCAUACAAUGAGACCAUCAUUUUUUUUCUUGGGUUAGUCACCCAUACAAUGAGACCAUCAUUUUUCUGGGGUUCGUCACCCAUACAAUGAGACCACCAUUUUUCUGGGGUUCGUCACCCAUACAAUGAGACCACCAUUUUUCUGGGGUUCGUCACCCAUACAAUGAGACCAUCAUUUUUCUUGGGUUCGUCACCCAUACAAUGAGACCAUCAUUUUUCUUGGGUUUGUCACCCAUACAAUGAGACCAUUUGUUCCACAUUCUUUGUUUUGGUUUAAUGAGGUCGCCAGAUGAGAUCUCAUGUAGCUUUGGUUAAAGGGAAUCGCCAGAUGGGAUUUCAGGUUAACCGAGUUACGUCACAUUUUUUAGUUCCAGUUGAAUGAGGUUGCCAGAUGGAAUCUCAUGUAGCUUUGGUUAAAGGGAAUCGCCAGAUGGGAUUUCAGGUUGACCGAGCUACCACACAUUUUUUAGUUCCAGUUGAAUGAGGUUGCCAGAUGGAAUCUCAUGUAGCUUUGGUUAAAGGGAAUCGCCAGAUGGGAUUUCAGGUUGACCGAGCUACCACACAUUUUUUUAAGUUCAAGUUGAAUGAGGUCGCCAGAUGGGAUCUCAUGUAGCUUUGGUUAAAGGGAAUCGCCAGAUGGGAUUUCAGGUUGACCGAGCUACACACAUUCUUUGGUUUUGAAAAAGAAGAUCGCCAGAUGGGAUCUCAAGUUAACGAAAAAAAAGAAAAAGAAACAUUUAGAGUUUUUCUUUACAAAGCUUACUAUGCGAAACAUUGAGGAGUUUUGCUUCGUAAGCAUUGUAAAGAGGGGGCAUCUGUUGCUACCCAAUUUUUGACCCAUGUUUUGAUAAAUUUUUUAAAAAAUCCAAAAAUAGCGAAAAACAUUGAAAAUCCAAAAAAAUACAUUUUUAAUACAUUUGCAUCGUUUUUAGCAUUUUUAGCAUCAUCUUAAAAGAAUUUAAAUUUUCAACGACAUUUGGAACGCGUUCAACUUUUAACGCGUUAUUUUUAAAAUCAUUGAUUUUCUUCAUUGAGUCGACGUUGAUAUUGCUCGUUUUCAAAAAUACAAAAAAAUUAAGAAAAAUCAAAUUUUACAAAAAAGAAAGAAAGUUGAGGGACCAAUUUUGAGAUCCAUGCAACAUUUUACCUAUAAAUACUGGUUCACAACUCAAACAAAAGGGGGGGGGUAAUUUUGAAAUUUGAGGGGAGAGGCAACACAAAAACAGAAACCCUAAAAGCCUAAUUUUUUCUCCCCUCACGGGGGAGGCAGCCGCCAGCCCCCCACCGUUUGAUUUUUCUCUUCUCCCUCACCGAAAGAGAGAGCCGCCAGCCCCCCCUGGAUUAUUUUUCUCUUCUCCCUCAACCGGACAACCGAUCUUCCCCACCCUCACAAAUCAGCCUCACCGAAACCCACUGACCAGACGAUUUUCCUCCUCCCCUUGUCCUCUGCCAAACACAAACCAGGCCACACCCUUCUUCCCCUCACAGGAGCUAAACCUUCACCCAGCCAUACUCUCCCCUCAUCUCACCAGGGCUGUUCCUUCACAGCCGGUUUUCCCUCAGCCACUGUGAACGCCAUCUCCAGCCGCUCCCCCAUUUCAACAGAUCUUCCCUCUCAGCUGCUCCCUUCUCCAGCCGCCAGCUCGCCAGACCAAAAGGAGGGCAGAGCCGUUCCCCUUCGUUCUCCCCUCUCGUCGGCCGCCUCCUCAUCUUCCCCGAUCUCUUCAUCUCCAUCAACACCGAAGCUUCAUCCAGCAGCAGCCAACACACGGCAGCACCCACAGAGUCAACAGCCGUUCCCAUCUCCACCCGACAAACCCAGCAGACCCGAACCGGCCACCAGCUGCUGCACAGCCAUCGCCGCCCAAACGCCAGACCUGCCACCCAAAGCAGAGGAGAAGACGAAACCCACAACAAAUUGACCCGCCGUGUAGUCGAAGAAGGAGAAGGGAGAGAAGCCGAUCUGGACCAAAAAGAAAAAAUUAAAAUCAACUGCUGUUGUGCGUUGUUUCUCCUUGUUGCAGGUGACGGUGACCUUCACCGCCGACGUAGGGAGACAGAGAAGAAGAAGAGGUUCCCGAUCCACCGGUUUCUGCCACCUUCAUCGGCGGCGGCGCGUGGAACCACGCGCCGCCAGUGACGCCACUGUUCUGGCAGCUCCAGAAGUCGGCCUGACACUGUUCCGGGUUGUUUGGUUCAUUUUGUAAUUUUCAAAUUGUUUAAUGUAAUAUUUGUGUAAUUUUGAGUUUUUUUUUAUAAUUUGUACUUUGUGUAAAUGUGGAGGAAAAAGAAAAAAAGAAAAGAAAAGAAAAGAAAAGAAAAAAACAAAUAUUAAUAGAAAAAGAGUUGUGCGUGUUUUGUUUUUUUGUUAUGUAUAUUAUUGAAUAAAAAGAAAAAAAAUGAAUUUAAUUUAUAUGCACAAAUAUCUAAAGGACAGAUAAAAAUCAUGUUGUAUUUUCCAUAAAAAUGUAGAACAUGUAUCUACAUAUAUUUUGGGAACUAAUAACUGAUUUAUCAAAGCCUUAGAAUUGGGCUAAAAUUUUAUUUUUAAAACGCAUCAAGUCCACGAAGCAGCUUACCUCAGGUAGGGUGCGUUAGGGGUGCGAAUACCUUCCCUAACCACAACCAGUCCCUUACCCGCGAAUCUUUGACAAGACCAGUACAUCAGGUUUCCUAGUAGCCCUCAAUAAAUUACUAGGUGGCGACUCCAACGAACCAAUCAAAGCAAAAUGAACAAACGAAAAAUCGCCAGCAGAUGCCGCGCGGAUUUUGACGUGCGACAAAGGGUUGGAAAACCUUGGUCAAGAAUCGUCAAUAAUGAAGAAGGCGAGAUCGAAGGAGAAGACAAGGAAACGCAAGUGGGGAAGGAAGAUGAAGCAUUGCCUCGGUUGACUUUACAGAACGGGUUGACCCAAGAACUUCUCGUAGUUUUCAAAAUGUAAAACAACUUUAUUUGCCUUAGCAUGUUUUUGUCAUUUGCUUUUGUCAUUGCUUUUAUUUUCUCUGUUGGGCAAUCAGGGCUCAUGUUUUCAGCCAGAUUUUAUGUUUGUCUUUGAGCCUACCUUUUUUUUAAUAAAUGAUGAGAUUAUGCAUUUUUUUGAACAAGUUUGAGUGGUUAUAUCAUAAAAUGGUUUAAUAUAAAAUUUAAGAAAAGCUAACCCUAAAGUACAUCCCUACCUCUGAUAGCGUAAUGAAUGGAUAAAUGAUUAAGUGGUCACUUUAUAAUCAUCUGUAAUUGUCUUUAUCAACCAUAACAAUGUGCAUUUUGAAAAAAAAAAAAAAAUUCAUCAUUAUCCCUUCACGCACUAAAAAAGUUUAUCUUUGGCUGAAUGAAUUUCUUCUCUAUAAAAGCCCAGACUAGGAUCACACCCCUACACUGGGGGCAAAACGAGUUGUUUUUUGAAAAGUUUUACGUGUUUAAAAUUGGUUGGAAGCCCAUUAGAUUUGAAAACCAAGCUAAAACAUUUGACAAAAGCAUGACAAAGAGGCAAAUACAAGUCAUACAUUUUGAGAAAAGGACUACUUGAAAGACUUCUUCUCCAAGAAUAUGAUAGGCAACACGAGAGAUGAAUUCAGCAUACGACUUCAAAAGUAAAGCUCAUGUUAAGAGGGAGUCUCAUGAACUAGAAGAAGAGGAUGGGGCCUAUGUUUCAAAACCAGGUACGAAUGCAUGCAUUGCAUCUAAUCAUAAAUCAUUGCAUGUAUGUUUUUUGGAUCGUUACAGAAGGAGAUCUUAGCGCAUUCCAACAAGAUUAUGGACGAAGAAAGAAUCAUUGAGUUGAUUCUAGAACAUACAAGAAGAGAAGAUAAUGGUUUUCAAACCAUGCUAGCAGGAAGAACGACAUCGAUAGCAUUCGAUAAAAAGGAAUCGCCAAAUGGGAUUUCAAGUUGUUGAGAUCGCCAGAAGGGAUCUCGUAUUUCGAUGGAGGUCGCCAGAAGGGACCUUAAAUUUCGGCUUUUGUAUAAAAGGAAUCGCCAGAUGGGAUUCCAAGUUGUUUGGAUAAAGGAGAUCGCAAGAAGGGAUCUUGUAUUUCGAUGAAGGUCGCCAGAAGGAACUUCAUGUUUUAGCUUUGGUAAAAGGAAUUGCCCGAUGGGAUUCCAAGUUAUUUGAGAUCACCAGAAAGGAUCUCGUACUUCGACAUUCAUCAAGGAAGGUCGCUAGAAGGGACCUCGUAUUGAAACUAUUUCUUAGAAAAGCAUGGAGUUUACUAAGAAUUCUUCCCCUUGGGUAGGUCACCCAUACAAUGAGACCAUUAUUUUUCUUGGGUAGGUCACCCAUACAAUGAGACCAUCAUUUUUCUUGGGUUCGUCACCCAUACAAUGAGACCAUUAUUUUUCUUGGGUAGGUCACCCAUACAAUGAGACCAUCAUUUUUCUUGGGUUCGUCACCCAUACAAUGAGACCAUCAUUUUUCCUGGGUAGGUCACCCAUACAAUGAGACCAUUCUUCAUCUUUUUUUACCUGGGUAGGUCACCCAUAAUAAUGAGACCACUCUUUCCUUCUCCCAUUCGGGCGGGUCACCCAUCAUAAUGAGACCACAAACGUGUUUUUGUAUUUGGUUAUGGGUAAAGGAAUCGCCAGAUGAGAUUCCAAGUUUUUGGGGUUAAAGGAGAUCACCAGAAGGGAUCUCGAGAUGACUAAAUUUUGAUCAUAGUUUAUGGGAUUCCAAGUUGAGGAGGAUUGCUAUAAAAGACAAGUUUCAGAUCAAUCAAGCUUCAAACUAAUCAGUUUCGGGACUGUUUUGGGUUUAUCUUUAUAAAACUUACUGCGCAAAACCUCUGCUCCGUAAGCAUUAUAAAGAGGGGGCAUCUGUUGUAACCCAUUUUUGGGUCCCCACAAAAUAUAUACAAAAAUAUAUAGCCAAAGGAGUUUAGAAAAAUAAUAAGAGGUGGGAGCGCUCAGAAAGAAUCAGAAAAAAAUUCAUUGAGGAGAUUCAGAAAUACAAGGAGUGAAAUUUUACAGUAUAUAUUUGACUGAGGAGAGCCCUGUUGGAAGAGAAAAUUUAAUUUGAAGAGAAAAGGGCCAAAAUUGGAUGUUUAUGGACUCAAUUGGAUUUUAUUGAAGGUUUAUUUGAAUUUAUAGAGGUUUUGAUUGCAAGGAAAAUUGAGUUUUAAGUCAAUUUAGGCUUUAAUUGGAAGAAAUUAAAGUUCUGAGGUCAAAUUAUAAUUUUUGAGAGUUGAUUUGGUUAAAUCAAGGGCUUAAUUGCAUAAAUAUUGAAGUUUAAGGGCCAAUUAGGGAAUUAAUUGAAGAAAUUCAAAACCAAGGACCACAUUGGAAAAGGCGUGCAAGUAUAGGGGCUGCAAUUAACAAAAUCCGGGGGCCAAAUUGAAGAAAUUGAAAGUUUAAUGGUCAAGUAGGGAUGAGAUUGAACGAAACUGAAAGUCGGAGGACUAAAUUGAGAAUUGGCAAAGAAAUCCCUAUUUUUAUCAAAAACGGCGCCGUUUUGCAUUUUUUUUAAAAAAAAAAAAGAACCAGUUACUGUUCAUUUUCUUCCCCACCAAGCUGCCCGAGUGGCCGACUUCCAGGCGUGUUUUCUGCCUCGUUUGGCCCCCAAAUCCGACAAAAAAUGCGCCAACAUCUCCACCUGAAACCCCUUUAUCCCGGAGAAUGGUCCGGUCGGGUCGAAAAAUUUAGAAACGGCUCCGUUGAGUGGCUCUAAGUGGCCACCUCGGGCAGUUCACAGCCUUGAGCUGCCAAAUUUGGCAGCUCGAGGUGCACACUUUGAACCAACGGUUUGGAUUCCUCGAGUCGAAUCAAGGGCUGAGAAUUUUUCCCCAUUGAAGACAAGAUUACCCUCUUUCCAGCCCUAGGAGAAAUUUUCAUGCUGAAACGGUUGGCAGGAGGGAGCUCAAAAUUGGGAUAAAAUCAGCUUUUCCUGCUCGGUUUUCCUGCAACCAGCCUUCUCUUUCUUUUUUUUCUCUCCGCCGUGGCUUCCAGCCGCCACCACUGAUCUCUCCACUGUCCUUACCACAAAACACCACAUCCCAUCCAUCACCCAGCAGCCUCACCACAGGCCACAGUACCCCUCUUUUCCUCCCUCUCCUCUCUACAAAAAUCUCCUCCUCUGCCAUCGUGAUUCAGACAGCCUCCACACCGACAGCAGAGGUAGCAACCAUCUUGCCCAAAAGCUCUCUUCCACUCCUACCAGCAGCAACCGGAGUAACAGCUCCUUCCUCAGUCACACCAACAGAUCCAGCCGAGAGCUUUCCUUCUCCUCUGCAGGAAUCUGCUCCUGCUUCUUUCAGCCGGGACUAGUGCACGCCUGUCGCCACCCAGCGCCACCGUGAGCCAUAGCCGGAGACAGCAGCCACGAUCACUCAUUCCAGGUACCUCUCCUCUCCCUUUUUUCUGUCCCCUCUUCCCUGUUGUUUUCCUCGGCAUGCAGAACGUGAAUUCACGUUCUGCAGCAAUGGAAAUAUAAUUAGCUGGUUACUGUGCGCUGCACAGUAACCAGCUAAUUAUAAGCACCUGGUUAAUAUGCGCGGUUACUGUACAGGUCAUUAUAUAUUAUGUAUAUUAUAUUGUGUUUUGUUUAUUUAUAUAUAGAUAUAUAUAUAUAAAAAAAUUUAAUUAAUUUCUUCGAAAAAUUAUUUCAAAAAAUAUGUGAUUUUAUGUAAUUUUUAUUACUGUAUUUUGAUCAAUAUCGGUUUGUAUUUUUAUACUGUAAAGAUACAAAUCCGGUAUUAAAAUACCCGGUUUUCGUCAAGACAUAAAAAAAAAAUGUUUUGUUUUCAUGCAUACGGCCUAGUCUCUCCAACAUAUAUAUAUAAAUAUUAUAACAUCAUAUUUUUCACACAACAAAGAAAAUUUCAAAACAAUAUAUGUAUUAGCAUGCAUUUUGGCUUUAAUAACCAGUUUAUUCAAGCCAUGAGAACUAGGCCAAUAUUUCAAAAAUUCUAAAAAAAUAUUUUUGUCCUCUUUUAGUAUAUGGGAUUACGAAUUUAUACGUAAAACGUAUUCCUGAUGUUAAAAAUAUGAUUUUACAUAGACGUUAGAACGGUUAGGUUUUACCCGAUAAGAUAAGAACCUCCUUAUUGAGGAGGACUUUUCUUGAACCAUAGACGGACCAACAACUAGGAAACAUAACGAGAACUUGAAUUUUAUCAGACAAAUAAACAAUGCAGCUUACCUUAGGUAGGGCGUAUUUGGGGUGCUAAUACCUUCCCUUUACGCAACCAGUCCCCGUACCCAAUCUCUGAGACCAGUUAGGGUUCCUAGUGACCAAAAUACUAGGUGGCGACUCCCAUUCCAUUUUCUUCCAACAAAAGACAAUAUUUUCUUGUCUCCCCACAUUUGCCAGAUAAAUAUCAUACACACUUCCUAGUUUUAAAAGUGGAAUACUCGUCGCGACGCCGCGCACCCGCGACAAUAGUAAAUAUUUUAAUAGCCUUGAGUCAAGUAGCAUGCUAGACCCAAGGUGUUUAGGUCUGGCGUAGUUGUCAAACCCAAGUCUCUUGGGUCUGGAGUGGUUGUCAGACCCAAGUAGCUUGGGUUAGGCAUGGUAGCCAGACCCAAGGCGCUUGGGUCUGACAAUAACACCAGACGCAAGCUACUUUUUUUUUAUCUUUUCUGAGGCUAAAAGUGUUAUUUUAUUAUAUAUGAAAAUUGUAAAAACUUGAAAUACCCUUUUUUGGGAGCAUAUCCUUUUUUAUUAUUAUUUUGGGGACAAAUAAGUAUUUUUAUUGUUAUGAAUAUUGUGAAAAACCAAGAAAGUCCUUGGUCAACAGUUCUAAUUUUUGUUGACUUUAGGGGUAAAAGAGUACUUUAAUUGUGUCUCAAGCACCUUGGGUCUGACAGUCUUGCCAGACCUGCGCACAAUAAACUAGUGGGAUAAUUAUGCACUUUAGUUGUCAGGAGAGAGAAAAUAAAGAAAGAACGCAAACAAUCAAUCACCAAGGGGCAAUCCAAUCAUUAUCUGGCUACGCGCGCUAUACCAUUUGCAAGAGGGCACGACUAUGCUUCUAAUUAGAUGGUGGUUGGCCAGAUUUGACCACUGAGAAGCAUCAUACGCGUCUCCUUAAUGGCAUGGGCACUGCCCAUUUGCUAGGGCAUGAGGAACACUAGCCCGCAACUUUUUGAUUAAAAAAUAACAAGUACAUCGUGACAAUACUAUAAAAUGCGUCGUUUCAUUUAUAUAUGAUAUGGCGCCAACACGUCAACUUCCAAAUCAAUCCCCAAUUUAUCCUUUGUCCGCUCAAGUCCUCAAAUGCAAUUUUGAUUUUAAGAAUCAAUUCAAUUACAUCCCUGCCAACUUCAAUCGCCGGCCCUAUAGUUGGUCGUCUUUCCCACUUUCGUCCUUGGUUUCUGAUUUAUGCAAUUUGACUCUCAAUUGAUCAAUAAACUUUUAAUUCUUCAAUUUGGCCCCUGAUUUGGUUAAUUACAGCCCCUCUAUUUACGCGUCUUUUCUAGUUUGGUCCUUGGUUUUGGAUUUCUUCAAUUAGGUCCCUAAUUGGCCAUCAAACUUCAAUAUUUAUGCAAUUAAGCCCCUGAUUUGACCAAAUUAACUCUCAAAAAUUAUAAUUUGACCCCAUAACUUUAAUUUAUUCCAAUUAAAGCCCAAAUUGACUUAAAAAUUAAUUUUUCUUGCAAUUAAACCCUCUAUAAAUUCAAUUAAACUUUCAAUAAAUCCAAUUGAGUCUAUAAACAUCCAAUUUUGGACUUUUCUCCCCAAAUUGAAUUUUCUUUUCCAACAAGGCUCUCAUCAUUCAAGUAUAUACUGUCAAAAUUUCAAUCCUUGUAUUUUUGAACCUCCUUAAUCAAUUUUUCUGACCAUUUUCUGAGCACUCCAACCUCCUACUGUUAUUUCCAAUUUCUUCCGACCAUAUAUUUAUAUUUAUUUUUAUUAUUAUAUUUUUAUUUUUAUUUUUUGUAUGGGGACCCAAAAAUGGGUUACAACACAAACAAUCGAUCACCAGCGAUAAUCCAACCAUUAUCUAGCUACACGUGCCACACUAUGUGAAAGAGGGCACGACUACGCUUCCAAUUAGAUGGCGAUUGAUCAUAUUUGGCUACUAGGAAGAGUCCUAUGCACCUCCUUAGUGGCACGGGCACUGCGCGCUCGUUAGGGCGUGAGGAAUACUGGCCCGCAGCUUUUCAAUUAAAAAUAAUAAAUACAUCAGAUCGUGAACAUACUAAAACGCCCUCAUGGUCCUUUUAAUUACACAAACAUCCAUAUAAAAAUACCAAAAUAUCCCCGAAUGUAAAGUUUUUUUUUUUUGAAGCUAAAAGCAUUAUAUGACUGUACUUGGAAAUUGAAAAAAUCCGAAUACCCUUGUAAUAGAAAGUCAAAGAAACAUCUCGUGAAAAUAUGAGAAAUUAAAAGUAAAACGACUAUUAUAAUCUACAGUAAAAAAUCUUUUAAUCUAUAGUGAUUUCCUCACACCAUUUAGUUUUUGUUAUAAUUGAGUUGUUCUCGUGAAAAUAUUGGAAUUUAUAAAUAAUUUUUAUACAAGGUGUCUUAUAUCUAUGUAAGAAUGAGAAGUAUAAUUUAGGAUUAUCUAAGUGGUAUGGUUGAGGGUAAGUAUGUACGAAGUAAUCACAUCUAACACUAUCUUCUUUAACCAUGUUGAGCGCGACAUGACAUGAAUGGAAGAUGGUUACGUGAAUAUGCUUUUAGGGGCUGUUUAUUUUUAUUUUAUUUUAAAAAAAAGCCAUGUUUUGUGAUUUUUUUUAAAAAAAAUAUUGUUUAAAAUUAAGUUUUUUAUAUUUUUAAAUAUGUCAAUAUCAAAAUUAAUUUUUAAAAAAUAAAAUAAAAAUAUUAUUUUCAUAUAUUUCUGAAUGAAAAGUAUUUUUAAAAAUAAUUGUUAUAUAUAACACUUAUAAACACUAUCUUAAUAUAUAAAUGACCCAGCAAGCUGAGAUUAUAUUAUGACUUGGGGUAAUCCUCAUAGUGUGGCUUGGUGAACAUGUAGGGUUUGGACAAUGCUUUCACCAUAGUGUGGCUUGACAUAAACUUAGGAAGAGUACACGAAGAUGCCUUUCGUCUAUAAAGGACCCAGCAAGUUGGAGUAUGGAGUAUAUAUUGAUUAUUCUUUUGUAUUGACUUGGAGUCAACGUGCAUGGAAGCAAGUUGAGUAUAAAAGGAUCCAGAGAGGCGAUAUUUAUGGAGUAACGUCGCCUACAAGUCUACAAUGGUGUACUAAGGAGGCUAAAAUUAACGGUGCUGGUAAUAUUAAGUACAAAACUAAAAUGUGUGAGUUUUUUUUACCGUGUAUUCAUAUAUUAUUAUGGAUUAAAUGUGUAAACUCUUGAGGUUUUUUCUUUUAAAUUAAUGAAAAAACAUAUAUGAAUUGGAUUGAUUUUUUAUUUUAGGUUGAUUUUAGUUUUUAGAACAGUUUUUUAAAGUCAAUGAUAGAUUUAUCAUGGUUCCUAAGAUAUUUUGAAGGUAUUUUAAGUAAACAAUUUGAAAAUGAGUUUUUAGAUAAAAAAAGUUAAGCCCUGAUUUUCCAGCCAUUGUGGUGACCGGAAUAUAAGCAAAUCAAACACCUUGUCCUCUAUUUUUUUUUCAAAAAAAAAUUAGGACGGAAGACAUGCUACAAAAAAAAUAAGAGCUCAAUCACGGGGGGUCUGCCACUGCAGGCUCACAUGGGGAACCUAACAAAAUGGGUGAGCCUGGCUUUUUUUUUUGUAAAUUUUUUUUUAAUUUGUUUUGUUUUUUUCUCUAUUUUUUUUCAUUUUUCAGAUUAUAUUUAUAAUAUGUGCAACCGCGCAUGGUGUUUUUUUCCUCUUUUAUUUUAUUCAAUCAAUUUAAUUUAUAUCUUUAUUUUUAUUAUCAUUUUUUUUAAUAAAAAAAAUAUCUUAAUAAAUAAAUUUAGCAAAUACAAUUAAAUAAUUUUUUUAUAUUUUAAAAUUAAAUAUGUUGAUGUGCAUCGAAAUCUUAAUUUUCAAAGCUUUAUACUUUUCGAAGCUUUAUACCUUAGAAAAUGAUACCUCAAUUUUGUACUUAUGAACUAUGUUUUGCUUGGAAACCUCUGAAGGUGGAGCCUGUCACCGUGAGUCAACAGCUAGUCUUCAGCUUUAUAUAUUAAUGCAUAUUAUUAAUUAAAGCAUAUUAUUAUCUUCCAUCAUAUGCGUGGAUAGAAUGCACUCUUACUUUUCAAAGGUGGCUUAGUCAAUAAUGCGAAGUAUUUGAUACGUUCGUUAAUUAUCUUGGGCACGGGAGGACUUAAUUUCAAGAAUAUAUAGUUCCCUUCGAAUGCUGCUAAAAAUCAUGGUGGCUAUAAACAAGAGCGCGGUGGAUAGGAGGAGAGCAUAACCAUUUUAGUUAGUCACAUAUAUUUCCAAGAUGAAGGCCUUUCUUAUCGCAUGCUUUCUCUUAGCUACCAUCGUCUUCUCUCCCCUAUCCACUUGCACUGCUCGAGAAUUGGCCGAGCGAGGUGAGAUUUUAUUUCCAUCAUUAACUUCAGAAAACCAGUUCAUUUUGUGCGUGUGUGCGUGUAGUCUCUUUGUGUAUUGCAAACAAUUUUUUGUUAUAAAACUGAUGAGUCAACCUUUACUUCUACUUCCGGCAUUAAUUAACUGGAGAUAAUCAUUAAUUUCAUGUUUUGUAUGCAUAUAUUAUUUAAUUAUUCUGUCGUGGCCUAUCUUAUAUAUAAAAAGAUGAUUCUGCUAUAAUAUCAGAUUAUGUCAACAUGAAUCUUGCAGACGUAUCCCGGGGAGCUCUCAACCCCCAUAAACCAGUGUACGGUUGCGGAAGGGGUAAUCGAUAUUGCGUACCUAAAACACCAAGAGGUUGCCCAAAUCCUUACAAGCGUAAUUGUGGGCGCCAUUAAGAUUAGAAGAAAGCAAAGUUGAGUACUGCUUAAAAGUAUGGAGAGCUAUACUACUAUCUUUAUCAAUAUGUAAAAUGAUCAGAACUAUUUAUGUGAGAAAAAUAAGCAAAGUUCUCCAGUGGAUUAGAAGAAGCAAGCAAAGUUGUCUGCUUAAAAAGUAUGGACGGCUCAUCGUGUCUCUAUCAAUAUGUAAAAUGUUAUUUUGAUAUGGGAA
This 26810-nucleotide long non-coding RNA is filed under the name Populus trichocarpa (black cottonwood). RNAcentral describes it as "long non-coding RNA (PTRI_LNC003880)". The record is from RNAcentral. Lineage: Eukaryota; Viridiplantae; Streptophyta; Magnoliopsida; Malpighiales; Salicaceae.